RNAcentral lists this ribosomal RNA (481 nucleotides) under uncultured bacterium. RNAcentral describes it as "partial 16S ribosomal RNA". It matches the Rfam family "Bacterial small subunit ribosomal RNA", at positions 28 to 507 of the family's 1533-position model. The record is from RNAcentral.
GAUGAACGCUGGCGGCGUGCUUAACACAUGCAAGUCGAACGAAGCACUUUAUUUGAUUUCCUUCGGGACUGAUUAUUUUGUGACUGAGUGGCGGACGGGUGAGUAACGCGUGGGUAACCUGCCUUGUACAGGGGGAUAACAGUUGGAAACGGCUGCUAAUACCGCAUAAGCGCACGGCAUCGCAUGAUGCAGUGUGAAAAACUCCGGUGGUAUAAGAUGGACCCGCGUUGGAUUAGCUAGUUGGUGAGGUAACGGCCCACCAAGGCGACGAUCCAUAGCCGACCUGAGAGGGUGACCGGCCACAUUGGGACUGAGACACGGCCCAAACUCCUACGGGAGGCAGCAGUGGGGAAUAUUGCACAAUGGGCGAAAGCCUGAUGCAGCGACGCCGCGUGAGCGAAGAAGUAUUUCGGUAUGUAAAGCUCUAUCAGCAGGGAAGAUAAUGACGGUACCUGUCUAAGAAGCACCGGCUAAAUACGUG